This 495-nucleotide ribosomal RNA is filed under the name Pseudarthrobacter phenanthrenivorans. RNAcentral describes it as "bacterial SSU rRNA". It matches the Rfam family "Bacterial small subunit ribosomal RNA", at positions 371 to 876 of the family's 1533-position model. Lineage: Bacteria; Bacillati; Actinomycetota; Actinomycetes; Micrococcales; Micrococcaceae. The record is from RNAcentral.
AUGGGCGCAAGCCUGAUGCAGCGACGCCGCGUGAGGGAUGACGGCCUUCGGGUUGUAAACCUCUUUCAGUAGGGAAGAAGCGAAAGUGACGGUACCUGCAGAAGAAGCGCCGGCUAACUACGUGCCAGCAGCCGCGGUAAUACGUAGGGCGCAAGCGUUAUCCGGAAUUAUUGGGCGUAAAGAGCUCGUAGGCGGUUUGUCGCGUCUGCCGUGAAAGUCCGGGGCUCAACUCCGGAUCUGCGGUGGGUACGGGCAGACUAGAGUGAUGUAGGGGAGACUGGAAUUCCUGGUGUAGCGGUGAAAUGCGCAGAUAUCAGGAGGAACACCGAUGGCGAAGGCAGGUCUCUGGGCAUUAACUGACGCUGAGGAGCGAAAGCAUGGGGAGCGAACAGGGUUAGAUACCCUGGUAGUCCAUGCCGUAAACGUUGGGCACUAGGUGUGGGGGACAUUCCACGUUUUCCGCGCCGUAGCUAACGCAUUAAGUGCCCCGCCUGG